Molecule: ribosomal RNA, 253 nt
Filed under: uncultured bacterium
Lineage: Bacteria
Description: partial 16S ribosomal RNA
Rfam family: Bacterial small subunit ribosomal RNA
Source: RNAcentral
UACGAAGGGGGCUAGCGUUGCUCGGAAUUACUGGGCGUAAAGCGCACGUAGGCGGAUUGUUAAGUCGGGGGUGAAAUCCUGGAGCUCAACUCCAGAACUGCCUUCGAUACUGGCGAUCUCGAGUUCGGGAGAGGUGAGUGGAAUUCCUAGUGUAGAGGUGAAAUUCGUAGAUAUUAGGAAGAACACCAGUGGCGAAGGCGGCUCACUGGCCCGGUACUGACGCUGAGGCGCGAAAGCGUGGGGAGCAAACAGG